Molecule: ribosomal RNA, 440 nt
Filed under: uncultured bacterium
Lineage: Bacteria
Description: partial 16S ribosomal RNA
Rfam family: Bacterial small subunit ribosomal RNA
Source: RNAcentral
CCUACGGGAGGCAGCAGUGGGGAAUAUUGCACAAUGGGGGAAACCCUGAUGCAGCGACACCGCGUGAGUGAAGAAGUAAUUCGUUAUGUAAAGCUCUAUCAGCAGGGAAGAAAAUGACGGUACCUGAGUAAGAAGCCCCGGCUAACUACGUGCCAGCAGCCGCGGUACUACGUAGGGGGCAAGCGUUAUCCGGAUUUACUGGGUGUAAAGGGAGCGUAGACGGCAGGGCAAGUCUGGAGUGAAAGGCGGGGGCUCAACCCCCGGACUGCUCUGGAAACUGUACGGCUGGAGUGCAGGAGAGGUAAGUGGAAUUCCUAGUGUAGCGGUGAAAUGCGUAGAUAUUAGGAGGAACACCAGUGGCGAAGGCGGCUUACUGGACUGUAACUGACGUUGAGGCUCGAAAGCGUGGGGAGCAAACAGGAUUAGAUACCCUGGUAGUC